This 64-nucleotide transfer RNA is filed under the name Apocheima cinerarius. Its description in RNAcentral is "tRNA-Arg". Lineage: Eukaryota; Metazoa; Arthropoda; Insecta; Lepidoptera; Geometridae. The record is from RNAcentral.
AAAAAUUUGCUUUUUAUUUUUUCCCCUUAAAAAAGAGAGAAAAAAUCCCCCCCUUUUUUUUUUU